Molecule: ribosomal RNA, 408 nt
Filed under: uncultured bacterium
Lineage: Bacteria
Description: partial 16S ribosomal RNA
Rfam family: Bacterial small subunit ribosomal RNA
Source: RNAcentral
AUUGAACGCUGGCGGCGUGCUUAACACAUGCAAGUCGAACGAAGUGGCGAACGGGUGAGUAACGCGUAAUCAACCUGCCCUUCAGCGGGGGAUAACAGUUGGAAACGACUGCUAAUACCGCAUACUGAAGGAGGGGCUUGCGUCUGAUUAGCUAGUUGGGGGGGUAACGGCCCACCAAGGCGAUGAUCAGUAGCCGGGCUGAGAGGAUGAACGGCAAAAUUGGGACUGGGACACGGCCCAGGUUCCUACGGGAGGCAGGAGUGGGGAAUCUUCCGCAAAGGACGAAAGUCUGGCGGAGCAACGCCGCGUGAGUGAUGACGGCCUUCGGGUUGUAAAGCUCUGUUAAUCGGGACGCGGUACCGGAAUAGAAAGCCACGGCUAACUACGUGCCAGCAGCCGCGGUAAUAC